UCAUUGCUUGGUCUUUUUUUU
This 21-nucleotide non-coding RNA is filed under the name Caenorhabditis elegans. The record is from RNAcentral. Lineage: Eukaryota; Metazoa; Nematoda; Chromadorea; Rhabditida; Rhabditidae.